This 5689-nucleotide long non-coding RNA is filed under the name Sus scrofa (pig). Its description in RNAcentral is "lncRNA (ENSSSCG00055011463.1)". The record is from RNAcentral. Lineage: Eukaryota; Metazoa; Chordata; Mammalia; Artiodactyla; Suidae.
AAGAUGGGACAGAGGGAGACAGUGAGAUGUGGGGUGAAUCCAGGGCCUAUGGUGAACAUGCAUUCUGAACUCCAGGGCGGGAAAGGGACCCUGGGGUCUCAGGCCGCCCACCAUGCCCUCCUCAGUUGGGUCAUGGGAACAUUCCAUGUAGAAAAAGGGUCAUGUGUCUCAUGUGAACUCCAUGCUCUUGGGAUCAUACCCCAUACUCUGCGAGUACCCUCUGCAGGGUCCUUCUGCCUCAGGACAGAGACCACCUGGCAGGCUGUUGACCUGUCAGCAAACACCACAGAUUCCAUUCAAAUGGGGGCUCUGGAGGUGACAGGUCAUGGAAGGAAGCAGACUGUGGUGCCAGGGCUGCCAGAGGGUGUGGAGAGUGAGACUUUCAUGGUUGUGGGACCUUUGGUUUUAUGAGAUGAAAAAUUCUGUGAAUAGUGUGAGGGCUCCGCAGCAAGGUGAAUGUAUCUGAUGCCUCGGAAACAUGAACUCAAAAUGGUGAUGAUGGUAAAGGGUGUGUGAUGUAUUAUAGUUCACUUAAAUUAUAAAACUGAUGUCUUACUGAGAUUCCAAUUUGACUACCCUAACAAAUGUGAGAGGCUGAAGCUCUGUCCCCACCAAGGAGGCCAUCAUGGUACUUUCACAUGGCACAUGGGGACAAUUCUCAGGGGGCUAGUCUGUGCUACCUGAGCUCUGUCUAGGGGAACCCAGACAGUGGUGACCACAUGGGUGAGGUAUAUGAUAUACCAUGAUGUUAAUACGAUGACACCAAGGGUUGUCAGUCAGCAGAACACGGAGCAGUGACCACUUAAAUGUGCCUGUCCUCCUAGGAACAUGACCAGAUAAAAAGAAAGGAGACCACAGGUUAAACAGGGUAACACCCUCAUUUCAGAUGUUUGAAACUUCAGAGAAGACAAGACAUACUGGAGGCCAAGGGCAGACAUGGAGUCUCCCCUGCACAGAGCCUGACCCACACAAUCCCCAGAGCCUGCACUGGGGGCUCGAGUCUACACUCACCAGGGUGACCCCAUCUCUCUAGACCCUGCACCUGGGGUCACACCUAGGGCUGUGCUGGCCGGGCCCCCAAUGUGGGAAUAAGCCAGGUCCCUGGGACCUGCUAGGGCUGUAGAAAGAAGUGUAGGGUCCUCUAACACUUGUCCCAGAGAAGUCUGUUCUUACCUGUUUUCACUUUAAUUCUGGGUUAUUUUAUUUUUGCUUUUUAGGGCUGUACCCGAGGCAUAUGGAGCUUCCCAAGCUAGGGGUGCAAACAGAGCUAUAGCAGCAGGCCUACGCCACAGCCACAUCAGAUCUCAUGGCUCCUAGUCAGAUUUGUUUCUUCUGCGUGCCACAGUGGGAACUCCUGGUUCUGGGUUAUUUUAAUUGUUUUUAACCUUUUAUGCUAAAGUUGUACACACCACUUUUGGUUCUGGCAGGCUCAGCCUUUUCCUGGCUUGCUGAAGUGUUGUGAAAACUCAUGGGAAGGCAGGGCUGAAAGAGGAGGUGCAGGUCUGGACUCUGCUGAGUAAGAUCGGCAACUGCAAGGAGAACCCAGAGGCAAAUUUUGCCACUGCUGAUGGGCCUUACACCCAGACCCACCUGCCAGCAAUCAGUUCACCAGGCAAACCUACUUCCCUCUUCAUCCUGUGCAUCCUGGUGAAUUAGUCUAUUUUUAUUUAUUUCUUUUAAUGGCCGCACCCACAGCAUUUGGAAGUUACUGGGCCAGGGAUUUAAUAUGAGCUGCAGCAGCACAACCCACUGUGCCAGGCCAGGGAUUGAACCUGCACCUCUGAAGCAACCAGAGCCGCUGCGGAUUUUUUUUUUAAGGGCUGCAGGUGCAGCAUGUGGAAGUUCUCAGGCUAGGGGCCAAAUCCAAGCUACAGCUGCUGGCCUACACAACAGUCACAGCCAUGCCAGAUCUGAGCUGUGUUUGUGACCACAGCUUGUGGGAACACCAGAUCCUUAACCCACUGGGCGGGGCCAGAGAUUGAACCCACAUCCUCAUAGUACUAAGUGGGGUUUGUUUCUGCUGAACCACAAUGGGAACUCCCUGCAAUCAGGUUCUUAACCCACUGCACCACAGCAAGAACUCACUGGUGAAUUGGUUUAAUUAUGAGGUAGCUCACCUGAAGAGCCUCCACCAUCCCCAGGGGUAAGGACUAAGGCCCCUCCCACAGCCAUGACCCCUGGGAGGGCAGAAAACCAACCUCAGAUCAGAGGCUAUGACUAGACAAGCAUACCUCAGCUCCAUACCUGACAUCUAAGCAUAGCAUCUGGACAGAGGCUCAGAGCUUCCCAGGUCUAAGGCCAGUCUGCAUCUCUACCCAGGACCCCAUGUUCCUCCCACCCACCAAAGCUCUCAGGACUGAGGCUGGGUCUCUACCCAGGUCUCCACAUCCUAGCAUGGGUGGAAUCUGGCUAGGUCUAAACAUAUGCAGUGUAGACAGGGCAUGGAAAGGUCUAAAUCUACCACAUAGAACUCACUCAGAUUUAAACUAAUUUAGGGCUGCUCUCCUGGGAGGCACAGAUCAUACACAUGGGGUCUCUCACCUCUGGACAGGGGCUCACCCUUGGCGAGAAGUAGGAUGUUCAUUUCUUGGAGAAUAAAUCGUCAACCUCCACAGUUCACCUACAUUGGGAAACUGCACAAAAUGUUUGUCAUUAAACAUUUCAUCAGGCAAAGCAAAAAUGUCACCAAUUUCUCUGGUCACGUGAUGGUCAGGACCCAGAAUUAGCCCAGAGUUUCUUGUCGUGCAGCCCAGCCUCCCACAAGGACAGAUCAGAAGUGGCCCAAUUCCACCGUCCCAGGUCCCCGCUAGAGCAUCCAUCCCGUUGACAACUAAAACGACUCAUAUGCGUACACUAGAUGCACAAGUAGGACAACCUGAACCAUUCAUUAGCCACCAUUAUAACCUUAUUUGUCAUAUCAUCAUUGCAAAUUCUUUACAUGAUAUAUAAAGUUAAUAUUCUUUCCUUAAGCAUAAAACCACGGGUCAUCAACGAUACGGGAGCCACAAAUACACAGAUUAUGAAGAUUUAAAUUCUGACUCCUCUAUAAUCCCCACAUCAGAUCCAAAAUCAGGAGAACUAUGACUGAAGUCAACAACCAAGCAGUAGAGUCAUUGAAUAUUAGUGUCCUUGGAAAAUGUCUUUGCACUCAUGAGCUGUUCCCCCUUUACUCCUAAAAAUAGCUGCUAUCUGAGGAUGCCUAAAUUAAGGGAUCCUGAUAUCGACAGGCCCAGGCAUAUAUUGUGGACAAUGAUGAGUAGAAAGUGCACCCGCUACCCACUCAGGGUGAUUACCUGCUCCUGGUAGAUCCCACAUCCCACCUCUGAGGGGACUGGCUCACAGAGCCUCCUUUUAGGAAGAUUCACUGUGCAAACCUUCUCUUUGGUGGGAUUUGUGUUACAAAUCCUUCCUUUGAUGGGAGCUCUCCUGGAUCACACUCACCACCUGCUCGUCCAUUCCCAGCUCAAACCCAGAAAGAAGACUUCCUUGGUCCUCAACCCCACAGCUCUUCCUGGGCACCCACUUCCCUUUCUCCCACGUCCCCCGCAGGGUCCCCAGGAGCUCCCACCAGCCUAGGGCAGGAUGUCCACUCUGUCCUAGGAAAGCUUCUAUGUUGUCAGGUGGAAGAAGAGGUACUCAUGGGGCCUCCCUCAAGCGGCACAGUGGCCAUCACCUACCCACCGACCUUGGCACGCUAGAUCUUCUGGUUCUUACCUCAUUCCAACAAUACCCACAGGGGAAUCAUGCUAAGCAACUCUGUGCUAGCUGCAAAGAGAGAACGCUUGUUCAUAUACCCCUCCCGGUGCUCGGGGCUCAUGUGGGCGGGCCCUUCCCAGGAUAUGGAGCUCACCUGAGCAGGUACCCUGACAGGGCUUAGCAUACAGGAACCAUGCACAGAGCUCCACCCCCAGCCCCGCUUAUCAGAGCUGACACUGAGUACCUCAGAGCAGGACCUGAACUAACAGCAGCUCCUGGAGAGGUCUGUGCCCCUGGGCUUGACUCUGUGCAGCCUCCCUCCUCUGGGUUUUCUAGAGGCUUCCACUGUGCCCAGAGUAUCUGGCCUCUGUCUCCACCCACCUCCCCUCCUAUCCCUAACUCCAGGAUUUCUCUCAUGAGGAGAGGGUCUUUUUGACAUUGUCUCCCAGUCAUGGGCCAGUUAAAAUGAUUAGAAAACAAGCUAGAGCUGCAGCCCCAUGUCCGCCCUGACGCUAAGAUCCCCCACCUGUUCCUUGGACUUGGCCCAUGCAGCAAGGCCCAUUUUCUGCAACCAUGAACCCCUGAUGGGUGAGGACUGCCUAACCUAGGCAGCCUGAGCCAUUCAGCCAGCCCUUCCCAGGUGUGCUGGGUUGAGAUCUGUAUAAAUAGCCCUUCUAGGCAACACAAGUACCUGCAGCUGUAUCUGAGCUCAUGCUUUCUACCUCAUCAGCAGUCAUGAAGCUGGGCUAGUUAAAGGUAAUGAGGAAUCACAGCCUUGCAGGUGGCCCAGUCUGAGUGGGCCUCUGCUGGACCUGACACAGGAGUUGCUAGGCCAACAUUUGCUUAGAAAGAGAUGUGUCACCCGUAUCUGCCACUGGAAGUUCUCCCCUGGCAGAGGUGAGAAAGCAAGAAAAAGGCAGAGAGGGUUCAGAGAGGAGGAAUAAUUUAGGCAAAGUGAAGGCUUCCGGAAAAGCCCUUAGGCCAAAACCAUCCUGCAUGGCCUGCAGAUGCCAAUUCAGCAAGCAUGCUGUCAUGGGCAUGGUGCCACACCCUUUCUUCCAGCUUUGAAAGUCUAUGCACAUAUUCAGGUAGUUUACCUGGGAAGGGUGGAUGAGGCUCAGGAGCAGCAUUUACCAACAUUUACCUAGAGACCCCUCCACACGGUCCAUCAGCUUUCCAGUGAAGAUGCUUCAUAUGCGGGGCUGCUGUCUGCAUAGGAGAAAAUUUCCCACCCCUGAGCAACUUCACAAUUGUUCAUCAGUGUAGUAAGUGUCCUAAUUGGGUUUUUAUCUGUGUAACUGAUGGGUUCUUAAUUAGCAGUGUGAACAGCUAUAUCAAAGGUCCUCAAGUGGGGUUAAAAUUCCCCAUGUGUACAGGGGAAAGAAGCUGGGGAAGCUGUGUGCAGCCAGCACGCUUAGGGAAGGGCUUCAGACUUGACCAACAUUCUAGUGUCCUGCCACUGCUUUUGGGAUUUCUGGGGGCCCAGUGCUGACUCUGAGGUCUCUGUAAUCUGGCCUUUAUUGGCCUUUAGAGACACUCACGCUUCCAGGAUCCUAUAGAGCAGGGUCUGUGACUCUUCUGUGGCCUCUCUAAAAAAUGACCACAAGCUGGGUGGUUUCAAACAAGAGGAAUCCAUCCUCCCCCAGUCCUAGAGACCAGACAUCUGAGAUCAAGGUGUUUCAGGGCUGAGGUCCCUCCAGAGGCUCCAGGGGAGGGUUCUUCCUGCCUCUUCCAGCUUCUGGGGGGGGGGAGGGGGUCCCAGGGUCUCCAGGCUUGUGCCUGCCUCCCUCCCAUCUCUGCCUCAUCUUCACAUGGCUUCUCCUCUGUUUCUGUGUCUCCUCUUUUGACUCUUAUCAGGACUCUGUCAUUGAAAUUAGGGCCACUCUAACCAAGAUUACCUCAUCUCAACCACAUUUGGAAAGACAGUUUUCCCAGGUGUGGUCCUAUUCCCAUGUUCUGGGAAACACAGCUUUUGGGAAAAAAAAAAAAAAAA